This 497-nucleotide ribosomal RNA is filed under the name uncultured bacterium. RNAcentral's name for it is "partial 16S ribosomal RNA". It matches the Rfam family "Bacterial small subunit ribosomal RNA", at positions 28 to 507 of the family's 1533-position model. The record is from RNAcentral.
GAUGAACGCUGGCGGCGUGCCUAAUACAUGCAAGUCGAGCGAACAGACGAGGAGCUUGCUCCUCUGAUGUUAGCGGCGGACGGGUGAGUAACACGUGGAUAACCUACCUAUAAGACUGGGAUAACUUCGGGAAACCGGAGCUAAUACCGGAUAACAUGUUGAACCGCAUGGUUCAACAGUGAAAGACGGUUUUGCUGUCACUUAUAGAUGGAUCCGCGCCGCAUUAGCUAGUUGGUAAGGUAACGGCUUACCAAGGCAACGAUGCGUAGCCGACCUGAGAGGGUGAUCGGCCACACUGGAACUGAGACACGGUCCAGAGUCCUACGGGAGGCAGCAGUAGGGAAUCUUCCGCAAUGGGCGAAAGCCUGACGGAGCAACGCCGCGUGAGUGAAGAAGGUCUUCGGAUCGUAAAACUCUGUUAUUAGGGAAGAACAAAUGUGUAAGUAACUAUGCACGUCUUGACGGUACCUAAUCAGAAAGCCACGGCUAACUACGUG